UAAUACGGGGGGGGCUAGCGUUGUUCGGAAUCACUGGGCGUAAAGAGUGCGUAGGUGGCCUAGAAAGUUAGAUGUGAAAGCCUGGGGCUUAACCCCAGAAUUGCAUUUAAAACUCCUAGGCUAGAGAUCGGUAGGGGACAGUGGAAUUCCUAGUGUAGAAGUGAAAUUCGUAGAUAUUAGGAGGAACACCAGUGGCGCAAGCGACUGUCUGGGCCGAUACUGACACUCAAGCACGAAAGCGUGGGGAGCAAACAGG
This 256-nucleotide ribosomal RNA is filed under the name uncultured bacterium. Its description in RNAcentral is "partial 16S ribosomal RNA". It matches the Rfam family "Bacterial small subunit ribosomal RNA", at positions 521 to 776 of the family's 1533-position model. The record is from RNAcentral.